CGACCGGCGCACGGGUGAGUAACGCGUAUCCAACCUGCCCACCCACUUGGGGAUAACCUUGCGAAAGUAAGACUAAUACCCAAUGAUAUCUCUAGAAGACAUCUGAAAGAGAUUAAAGAUUUAUCGGUGAUGGAUGGGGAUGCGUCUGAUUAGCUUGUUGGCGGGGUAACGGCCCACCAAGGCAACGAUCAGUAGGGGUUCUGAGAGGAAGGUCCCCCACAUUGGAACUGAGACACGGUCCAA
Molecule: ribosomal RNA, 243 nt
Filed under: uncultured bacterium
Lineage: Bacteria
Description: partial 16S ribosomal RNA
Rfam family: Bacterial small subunit ribosomal RNA
Source: RNAcentral